AGGAUGAACGCUGGCGGCGUGCUUAACACAUGCAAGUCGAACGAUGAAGCCGGAGCUUGCUCUGGUGGAUUAGUGGCGAACGGGUGAGUAACACGUGAGUAACCUGCCCUUGACUCUGGGAUAAGCACUGGAAACGGUGUCUAAUACCGGAUACGAGCUUUAGCCGCAUGGCUAGGAGCUGGAAAGAAUUUCGGUCAAGGAUGGACUCGCGGCCUAUCAGGUAGUGGUGAGGUAACGGCCACCAAGCCUACGACGGGUAGCCGGCCUGAGAGGGUGACCGGCACACUGGGACUGAGGCACGGCCCAGACUCCUACGGGAGGCAGCAGUGGGGAAUAUUGCACAAUGGGCGCAAGCCUGAUGCAGCAACGCCGCGUGAGGGACGACGGCUUUCGGUUGUAAACCUCUUUAGUAGGAAGAAGCGAAAGUGACGGUACCUGACAGAAAAGCGAACGCUAACUACGUGCCAGCAGCCGC
RNAcentral lists this ribosomal RNA (475 nucleotides) under uncultured soil bacterium. RNAcentral's name for it is "bacterial SSU rRNA". It matches the Rfam family "Bacterial small subunit ribosomal RNA", at positions 26 to 518 of the family's 1533-position model. The record is from RNAcentral.